This 497-nucleotide ribosomal RNA is filed under the name uncultured bacterium. Its description in RNAcentral is "partial 16S ribosomal RNA". It matches the Rfam family "Bacterial small subunit ribosomal RNA", at positions 28 to 523 of the family's 1533-position model. The record is from RNAcentral.
GAUGAACGCUAGCUACAGGCUUAACACAUGCAAGUCGAGGGGUAGCAGGGUAGCAAUACCGCUGACGACCGGCGCACGGGUGAGUAACACGUAUCCAACCUUCCCAUAACUCGGGGAUAGCCUUUCGAAAGAAAGAUUAAUACCGGAUGGUACUUUUUCAAGGCAUCUUGAGAAAGUUAAAGAUUUAUACGUUAUGGAUGGGGAUGCGUUCCAUUAGAUAGUUGGUGAGGUAACGGCUCACCAAGUCUUCGAUGGAUAGGGGUUCUGAGAGGAAGGUCCCCCACAUUGAUACUGAGACACGGACCAAACUCCUACGGGAGGCAGCAGUGAGGAAUAUUGGUCAAUGGGCGAGAGCCUGAACCAGCCAAGUAGCGUGAAGGAUGAAGGUCCUAUGGAUUGUAAACUUCUUUUAUAGUAGAAUAAAGUGAUCCACGUGUGGAUUUUGUAUGUAUACUAUGAAUAAGCACCGGCUAACUCCGUGCCAGCAGCCGCUGUAA